RNAcentral lists this ribosomal RNA (356 nucleotides) under uncultured bacterium. RNAcentral's name for it is "partial 16S ribosomal RNA". It matches the Rfam family "Bacterial small subunit ribosomal RNA", at positions 338 to 686 of the family's 1533-position model. The record is from RNAcentral.
CCUACGGGAGGCAGCAGUGGGGAAUAUUGCGCAAUGGGCGAAAGCCUGACGCAGCGACGCCGCGUGAGGGAUGAAGGUCUUCGGAUCGUAAACCUCUGUCAGCAGGGAAGAACGUUCACUGUGCUAAUCAGCCGUGAAUUGACGGUACCUGCAAAGGAAGCACCGGCUAACUCCGUGCCAGCAGCCGCGGUAAUACGGAGGGUGCGAGCGUUAAUCGGAAUUACUGGGCGUAAAGCGCUCGUAGGCGGUAUUUCAAGUCAAGGGUGAAAUCCCCGCGCUCAACGUGGGAACUGCCUUUGAAACUGGCAAACUGGAGUGUGUGAAGGGGUAGUGGAAUUCCAGGGGUAGGAGGGGAA